GUAUUGUAUUGCGUUAAACGCGGCAUACAUUCCAUAAGACUUUGUUACAGUGUGUGUGUAAAUACGCAGGACCACAGCAGGGGGACAGAGCCCCCAGGCUACAGAACUACGGAGGGUGCACAGGUGUGAGUGGAUGUGCAAACAGAGCGUGCACGUGUCCCCAUUCGAGGACCAGCAACAGCUCGUGUUGACAGUUCGGUAAUGAUCCUUCCGCAGGUUCACCUACGGAAA
RNAcentral lists this unclassified non-coding RNA (231 nucleotides) under uncultured fungus. Its description in RNAcentral is "sequence contains ITS1". Lineage: Eukaryota; Fungi. The record is from RNAcentral.